Molecule: ribosomal RNA, 476 nt
Filed under: Mammaliicoccus lentus
Lineage: Bacteria; Bacillati; Bacillota; Bacilli; Caryophanales; Staphylococcaceae
Description: bacterial SSU rRNA
Rfam family: Bacterial small subunit ribosomal RNA
Source: RNAcentral
GCUCAGGAUGAACGCUGGCGGCGUGCCUAAUACAUGCAAGUCGAGCGAACAGAUGAGAAGCUUGCUUCUCUGAUGUUAGCGGCGGACGGGUGAGUAACACGUGGGUAACCUACCUAUAAGACUGGGAUAACUCCGGGAAACCGGGGCUAAUACCGGAUAAUAUAUUGAACCGCAUGGUUCAAUGUUGAAAGACGGUUUCGGCUGUCACUUAUAGAUGGACCCGCGCCGUAUUAGCUAGUUGGUAAGGUAACGGCUUACCAAGGCAACGAUACGUAGCCGACCUGAGAGGGUGAUCGGCCACACUGGAACUGAGACACGGUCCAGACUCCUACGGGAGGCAGCAGUAGGGAAUCUUCCGCAAUGGGCGAAAGCCUGACGGAGCAACGCCGCGUGAGUGAUGAAGGUCUUAGGAUCGUAAAACUCUGUUGUUAGGGAAGAACAAAUUUGUUAGUAACUGAACAAGUCUUGACGGUACC